Molecule: small RNA, 170 nt
Filed under: Chelonoidis abingdonii (Abingdon island giant tortoise)
Lineage: Eukaryota; Metazoa; Chordata; Testudines; Testudinidae
Description: TUC338 (ENSCABG00000022194.1)
Source: RNAcentral
UCAGCGAGAUCUAAAGGCUGGAGUCCUUUAUCUAAACAGGUACAGUGUGAUCGUUGACAGUGCAAGCUUCCCUGUGCUGCCCUGCCACUGUGCCUCAACUUGGAGAAAACUGCUUCUGGAGGUGAGGGGAAGGUAGUUCAGCCUCCAUGCCCAUUUAGCCCUUGGCCUCU